UUGGCACCAGCUGAGUCGAGAUGGAUGGUCUGUCUUCCCGAAGUGUUCUCAUCCUCGUCCAAAAAAGCCGUGCUUUAAGACUGAGAGGGGAAACCGCCACUGAGCAGCGAUCUCUGAGACCAGAGGUCCAUCGGACAGUCCACCAGCUCUUCAGAGACCCACACAGACCUGCAAGUCCACACCCCUUCUAGCUUCUAUAACUAUCACCAUAUUAACAGUGAACCGAGCCAUCCUGACUGUUAUCCAUCAGACAAAGUGAUGAAAGAGGUCAUUAUCAUGCUGAGACAGUCAGCUGGAGUAAGCCAGAGGAAACGAAACAGAAAUGAAGAGUGCUCUAGAGACCCUGCCCUGUGUUCAAUCUACAAUGUCCACAACCAGCAAGAAAAAAAAGAGAGCAACUGUGUCAGGUAAAGGGAGAACUAACUACCUUGUCGCCUUGAACCUGAUCCAUUUGCUAUAACAGACAUUAAGGGAAAAGAUGAUGUGUAUCUUUAAUGCUAGACUUACGUGAGUUCAAGGCCAGAUUUGUCUACAUGGUGAGUUCCAGAACCAGACCUAGUCUCAAUACACAGAGAGGUGACAUUUGAGUCAGGCCUGAGGACUGGGUGGGAGCGAGGGUCAUAUGUGAAUCUCCCAGUCUCCCCGGCUUCAUUGUGCCUACACUUUUCCAUUUCUGCAGUGGGGGAGAUGAGACUAAAGCCAGGACGCUAGGCGGGAGGUGAGGGCUCAGCACGGAGCUCUGCCC
Molecule: long non-coding RNA, 745 nt
Filed under: Rattus norvegicus (Norway rat)
Lineage: Eukaryota; Metazoa; Chordata; Mammalia; Rodentia; Muridae
Description: long non-coding RNA NONRATT000986
Source: RNAcentral